Molecule: long non-coding RNA, 728 nt
Organism: Photinus pyralis (common eastern firefly)
Lineage: Eukaryota; Metazoa; Arthropoda; Insecta; Coleoptera; Lampyridae
Exons: 3
Source: RefSeq, a predicted model, not a curated record
AAGGAAAGUAGCCGUAGGUCGUAGGUACGUUUUAUUUGCGGUUGCGCAAAAACAAAACAGCUGUUAUUGAUUGUUACUUACAUCGAACGUAUAAAUGGAUUAUUUAUACGUUCAUCAAUUUUGAGAAGGCAAGCGAUUUAUUGGGUUAUUUACGUCGGUCACACGUGACCUUUACAGUUUUUACGUACAUAUUCGGAUUUGCACCUGCUGCGCAAUAUUGUUUAAUAUAAAGCAAGAAAAAGGCCGAUGGAAAUCGAAAGAUGUGCAAGAGGCGCCGGGUCCCCUUAACAAUAAAUUGGAGGUGUACGCUGUCGCUAUAAAAAUAGUUACAGGUUCGUGGGAAUUAAUAAUGGAUAAAGAGUCCAGAGAUAAACCGUGUUAAUGGAACGAAGCUCAUGUUCUACGACUCUUGUAAGGAACAAGCACAUCGACAAGUUGAUGCUCCUUCGUAAUGGAAAUUAUGUCGAGUUCAAUCGUGAUAUAUCUACUAACACGAUUAGUUAAAUAUGUAAUCUCCAUUGAAUGAGAGAUUUGUAUAUUUACAAGAUGCUAAUACAUGUACCUGUGUAGAAACACGAGCACGUGAGACAUUGUUAGACACGUAUCUCGUUCUGUUUGAUGGGUGCACCGUAGUAUGUAAACGAAGACGUGUCAUUCGCUAACAAAGUUACACAAAUAUUGUCAACAAAAUUUGUAUCCUGAUAAUUAAACGAUUAUCCUAUUCGUCA